AAUGAACCGGCGAGUUACGAUUUGAUGCAAGGUUAAGCAGUAAAUGUGGAGCCGUAGCGAAAGCGAGUCUGAAUAGGGCGUUUAGUAUUUGGUCGUAGACCCGAAACCAGGUGAUCUACCCUUGGUCAGGUUGAAGUUCAGGUAACACUGAAUGGAGGACCGAACCGACUUACGUUGAAAAGUGAGCGGAUGAACUGAGGGUAGCGGAGAAAUUCCAAUCGAACCUGGAGAUAGCUGGUUCUCUCCGAAAUAGCUUUAGGGCUAGCCUCAAGUGAUGAUUAUUGGAGGUAGAGCACUGUUUGGACGAGGGGCCCCUCUCGGGUUACCGAAUUCAGACAAACUCCGAAUGCCAAUUAAUUUAACUUGGGAGUCAGAACAUGGGUGAUAAGGUCCGUGUUCGAAAGGGAAACAGCCCAGACCACCAGCUAAGGUCCCAAAAUAUAUGUUAAGUGGAAAAGGAUGUGGCGUUGCCCAGACAACUAGGAUGUUGGCUUAGAAGCAGCCAUCAUUUAAAGAGUGCGUAAUAGCUCACUAGUCGAGUGACACUGCGCCGAAAAUGUACCGGGGCUAAACAUGUUACCGAAGCUGUGGAUUGUCCUUUGGACAAUGGUAGGAGAGCGUUCUAAGGGCGUUGAAGCAUGAUCGUAAGGACAUGUGGAGCGCUUAGAAGUGAGAAUGCCGGUGUGAGUAGCGAAAGACGGGUGAGAAUCCCGUCCACCGAUUGACUAAGGUUUCCAGAGGAAGGCUCGUCCGCUCUGGGUUAGUCGGGUCCUAAGCUGAGGCCGACAGGCGUAGGCGAUGGAUAACAGGUUGAUAUUCCUGUACCACCUAUAAUCGUUUUAAUCGAUGGGGGGACGCAGUAGGAUAGGCGAAGCGUGCGAUUGGAUUGCACGUCUAAGCAGUAAGGCUGAGUAUUAGGCAAAUCCGGUACUCGUUAAGGCUGAGCUGUGAUGGGGAGAAGACAUUGUGUCUUCGAGUCGUUGAUUUCACACUGCCGAGAAAAGCCUCUAGAUAGAAAAUAGGUGCCCGUACCGCAAACCGACACAGGUAGUCAAGAUGAGAAUUCUAAGGUGAGCGAGCGAACUCUCGUUAAGGAACUCGGCAAAAUGACCCCGUAACUUCGGGAGAAGGGGUGCUCUUUAGGGUUAACGCCCAGAAGAGCCGCAGUGAAUAGGCCCAAGCGACUGUUUAUCAAAAACACAGGUCUCUGCUAAACCGUAAGGUGAUGUAUAAGGGCUGACGCCUGCCCGGUGCUGGAAGGUUAAGAGGAGUGGUUAGCUUCUGCGAAGCUACGAAUCGAAGCCCCAGUAAACGGCGGCCGUAACUAUAACGGUCCUAAGGUAGCGAAAUUCCUUGUCGGGUAAGUUCCGACCCGCACGAAAGGCGUAACGAUUUGGGCACUGUCUCAACGAGAGACUCGGUGAAAUCAUAGUACCUGUGAAGAUGCAGGUUACCCGCGACAGGACGGAAAGACCCCGUGGAGCUUUACUGUAGCCUGAUAUUGAAAUUCGGCACAGCUUGUACAGGAUAGGUAGGAGCCUUUGAAACGUGAGCGCUAGCUUACGUGGAGGCGCUGGUGGGAUACUACCCUAGCUGUGUUGGCUUUCUAACCCGCACCACUUAUCGUGGUGGGAGACAGUGUCAGGCGGGCAGUUUGACUGGGGCGGUCGCCUCCUAAAAGGUAACGGAGGCGCUCAAAGGUUCCCUCAGAAUGGUUGGAAAUCAUUCAUAGAGUGUAAAGGCAUAAGGGAGCUUGACUGCGAGACCUACAAGUCGAGCAGGGUCGAAAGACGGACUUAGUGAUCCGGUGGUUCCGCAUGGAAGGGCCAUCGCUCAACGGAUAAAAGCUACCCCGGGGAUAACAGGCUUAUCUCCCCCAAGAGUUCACAUCGACGGGGAGGUUUGGCACCUCGAUGUCGGCUCAUCGCAUCCUGGGGCUGUAGUCGGUCCCAAGGGUUGGGCUGUUCGCCCAUUAAAGCGGUACGCGAGCUGGGUUCAGAACGUCGUGAGACAGUUCGGUCCCUAUCCGUCGUGGGCGUAGGAAAUUUGAGAGGAGCUGUCCUUAGUACGAGAGGACCGGGAUGGACAUACCUCUGGUGUACCAGUUGUCGUGCCAACGGCAUAGCUGGGUAGCUAUGUGUGGACGGGAUAAGUGCUGAAAGCAUCUAAGCAUGAAGCCCCCCUCAAGAUGAGAUUUCCCAACUUCGGUUAUAAGAUCCCUCAAAGAUGAUGAGGUUAAUAGGUUCGAGGUGGAAGCAUGGUGACAUGUGGAGCUGACGAAUACUAAUCGAUCGAAGACUUAAUCA
This 2306-nucleotide ribosomal RNA is filed under the name Staphylococcus aureus subsp. aureus CIG1835. RNAcentral describes it as "bacterial LSU rRNA". It matches the Rfam family "Bacterial large subunit ribosomal RNA", at positions 614 to 2925 of the family's 2925-position model. Lineage: Bacteria; Bacillati; Bacillota; Bacilli; Caryophanales; Staphylococcaceae. The record is from RNAcentral.